Molecule: ribosomal RNA, 491 nt
Filed under: uncultured bacterium
Lineage: Bacteria
Description: partial 16S ribosomal RNA
Rfam family: Bacterial small subunit ribosomal RNA
Source: RNAcentral
GAUGAACGCUGGCUACAGGCUUAACACAUGCAAGUCGAGGGGAAACGACGGGGAAGCUUGCUUCCCCGGGCGUCGACCGGCGCACGGGUGAGUAACGCGUAUCCAACCUGCCUCUGACUGAGGGAUAACCCGUCGAAAGUCGGCCUAAUACCUCAUGGCAUCGUCUGCGGGCAUCCAACGACGAUUAAAGAUUUCAUCGGUCAGAGCUGGGGAUGCGUCUGAUUAGCUUGUUGGCGGGGUAACGGCCCACCAAGGCGACGAUCAGUAGGGGUUCUGAGAGGAAGGUACCCCACAUUGGAACUGAGACCCGGUCCAAAACCCUACGGGAGGCAGCAGUGAGGAAUAUUGGUCAAUGGGCGAGAGCCUGAACCAGCCAAGUAGCGUGCAGGAUGACGGCCCUAUGGGUUGUAAACUGCUUUUAUGCGGGGAUAAAGUGAGGGACGUGUCCUUCAUUGAAGGUACCGCAUGAAUAAGGACCGGCUAAUUCCGUG